CGAAUCUAAAACAAAUUAAAAAGAAAUCUGUUCAUACAGUCCAUUUGGGGUGGGGGGAUGCAAACAGAAUAGAUAGGACCUCUGAGCUGGUGGUUUUCUCCAUAGCGAGCAGGUAGAUCCCUCAGUUGCUUUCAUUUCUGAUGAAGUGGCUGAUAAAAACCUCUGUCAGAUUCAAAUUUAUUAAUGAAGAAGGAAGGAGAUGUUCAUGAAGAUUGCAUUUUAAAGUGAAUUUAUUCAGUUUAACAUAUUUGAAAGACUGGGUGAAUUCAGUCAUCCUUUGAAAUUCACAGUUCCCCAAAUGUUGCAAUAAAGUUCUUUAAUUAAAUAAUAUUUAAUAAUAUAGAUGGCCAGAUCAGUCCAGAAUGCAGGCAAAAGGGGAAGGGUUGCCACAUUAUUAAAAGUUUUCUUCUGUGUAGAAAACCCCCUGCAUAUAAUAAUUUAGCACAUCAGUGAUAACUCUCUCUCUCUCUCUCACUCACUCGCUCUGUGUGUGUGGGUGUGUGCAUGUGCGUAGUAUGCUCCUGAUGUGCACAGAACAUUCUGAUAUGGUGGUCCCUACCUAUAUUCUGAAGUGUUACUGUUCUUCCAUUUCAUCAUGGUCAAUGGUAAGUAGUACAUGUUGAAGUGUGAGUUGUCAUCAUGAUAGUCUCCAUUGCCAAGCUUCCAAACAGAGUCCAGCAGUUCAGGCAUUUGAAUUGAUCAAUAUCAAUAAACCACUACAAGCAAGUUUCAUUUCUACCAGGAGCAGUUGGAAAAAAAACUUUGGGGUCUUAAUUGCCCUUAAAUAAAGAACUUUGCAGUGUGUUCCUACAAGAAUAGUUCAUACCCAUAUAUUGUUGCUGAGAAAAGUAAUCGCCCACUGUGUAGAUUGAAGCCAAGUUCAGAUGGAACCAAGAAUUGGGGAGGGGGGCAUUCCAGCAAAGCCAAAAGUGCCAGUGAGGCAGCCUGUAAUCCUGGCUCUGGUACAAUAUUGAUUAUGCUGCAUUUGCAGACCAGGAUUUAGUCCCGUGUCCUUAAUAAAAAUAGAACAAAAGCAUCUUGAGAUGACAAGAAAGGCAUUCUUCCAAAUUUGACAACUCCUGCCCCUCUGGGACUUACUACUCCACAUGCUGCCUGAGUCAUACUUAGCUGCACUAAAAAGUAAUGUUAAAAACCCAACUCUUGACUUCCAAGAAUCCAGCUGCUACCACAUACACGAAGAAGCUAAGGUCUUUAGUCCAAUCUGAGAGAGAGAAGACCCCCCUCCAAGAAUUUUCCUUUAUAACUGAAUCUGAAGUGGCUGUCCAACUGGAGAGAGGGUGCACUCCAACCAGGAUGCCUAUAAGUCUCCAAACUCAGUGGGGCAAGAGGAUUGCAAAGGUGCCUGCCAGCUCUUUGCUCUUUCUGCCCCACAAGCCAGGUAGACGAGCAAUUUUAGCAGUCGAGCUGCAGCAUUUUAGAUGGCGAAGGAUGGGGGCUGGAACACCACGAAGGUACAUCUUAUUCUGGCAGUCUCAGUCUCAGUCUUUUCCCCUUCCCUCCCUUCUCCCUGGAAUGCCUUGUGUAUCCCUUUACCCAGCACUCUAACGACCUUGGAGAAGCAGCCAAUUCAGCCCUUCCAUGUGGGCUGGUUGGGGAGGGGGAUUCAAAUGCAGAUCUCCAGUUUUGAUGUUACUCUUUACUGCCCUCAGAUCUGGGAAUCUGAAGAAUUCUGUGGUCUCCUAGAUGCUGUUUAGGAGGUCAUAGCAUUGCUCUGCCAAUGUAUGAUUUAAUUUGAUUUGGAAUUAAAUCAUUUCAAACUAUUCACCCACAUUUUCUGUGGAAAAACAGGACACAUUUCCAAAAUGCCUCCAUAUGCAACCACACUAAAUCAUUCAACAUAUAAAUAUUUUUUCCACAUAUCCAUUUUGUCAUCCAGGCUAACUGAAAGAUUUGGCAUUAAAUCAUCCGGACAGGAAAUGGUAAAUCUCUCACUUUGUGCAUUGUGGAAGAGUCUGCCCUUGAUCAUUAAUUUCUCAUAUAAAAGUAUCAGUCACUUUUUGCCAACUUUCCGCUUCUCUAUGAUUCACCAACAGUAGUAACUGAGUAAACAAAUAAAAAAAUACACUGGUUAUAUUGCUGAAUUAUUGCCAGUCAACCCAAUUUUGCCUUUCCUCACAAGAGGAAAAAAGUAGGAUAUAGCCACAAUAUAAUAAUAUUAAUAUUAAUAAUAAUAAUGUUUCAAUUUAUUUCAUCUAAAGAAAUUUCAUAUAUUUUUGUGAGAAAGAGGUAUAUCCUAGCUAUAGGUAUAUCUAUAGCCUAGCUAUAUCUUUAUUAUAUGAAAAUGCAUUUACUUCUAAAUAUUUAAUUUGUUUAUUAUGAAAUUAUAUACAAAAUCUGAUACAAUUCUGCUCUUAACUAAUAAGAGGACAUUUAAAUAUACUUAUUUAUGUCCAUUCAUAUUUUAACCUGGUACCUCCACAAUCUAAAAUAAUGCUGGUAACCUUAUAUUGCAUCAAAGAUACCAUUGUAUGAGUCAUUUUUGAACAGAGAUAUUUUGUGCUGAGAUGUUUUCACCUGAAUUUCAUUUACUUCCAUUUCAGAUAAAUUAGUAAAGCCAACAACAGUGGAUACCAUGAGCUGUUCUGGUUUUUUUACCCUUAUCAAAACAAUAUAGGAUGUCUUAUUAUGAGAGAUAAAUGCCAAUUGUUUGAUAAUAAACAUUUUAAAAUGUGCAAUAUCAAGAAUGGAAAUUAGUAAUUUUAUGAAAGAGAAGACACACAAACCCCAUGCAGAUUCACACUGACUUCUGGGUAACUGACAUAAAGAAUGGUUGUCAAGAUUACUUGGAUGUUAUCCAAACAGGAAAUGCUGAGUUAAAGAUUUAUCCCUUCAGCCUAAUUGUUGUUUGGGUAAGUUGUUUGAGUAAUUCACAGCUGUAAGACUAUAUUGUUCCAGGUAGAAAGUUAAUAGUUUGUUUAAAGUCUAUUGAACAACUAUAAUAUGCAAGUAUGUAAAAAAACUGAUGCACAUCUAAUAUACAAAUGUCUAGAAAAAAUGUAGACUUAGUUUUAUCAGUAAAUGUUGAGUAUGGAAUUUUCUUCUCAAAUUUAUGAUUUAAACUGAAUGGGUUUAGCCUAAAAUGUUUUGUGUAAGCCUUUAAAAUGUUUUUAGUAAUGCUUACUAACAAAUAAAUGAUUAAGAUUAUGUGUCUUUAUUUAUUUAUGGGACAGUAGGUAAUAUUAGUUAGGAGGUUUAAACAAAUAAGGGAAUAAUUAUCUGCUCAUUUUAGCAUGCAAGAGCUUGGAUACUCACUUGAGAAGGUCACCUGGCCCAUGCACCUGUCAGCUGAAAAUCCUAAUUAGAAUUGAAUAGGGAACUUGUUACUUAGAAUCAGUUUUUUCUUUUGUAAAUUUUUGCAAAUUUUCUGGAAAGAUGAACAAGUGGGUCCUAGAUCAAAUUGAUCCAGAACUCUCCCUGGAAGCAAACAUGAUGAAACGGAAGCUUUUGUACUUUGGGCACUCACUAGAGAAGACAAUAAUGCUAGGGAAAGUUGAAGGCAGAAGAAGAAGGCCAACUAUGAGACGGCAUGAUUCCAUACAGGAAGCCACCGCCUUAAAGUUAUAAGAGCUGAGCAGGGCUGUCGCGGACAGACUUGGGAGGCCAUCCAUUCAUAGGGUAGUCAUAAGUCAGGGACAACUUGAUGGCACAUGACAUCAGCAACACGGUGCAGCAGUUACGUGAAGAAAACCUUUUAAUGGAUAUAAUGCUACAUAUUAGUGGAAACGUCUAUCAGAAUGAAAAUAAGGCUUAAGUACGGAUUUAAAAUGACCCUCAAAUGGAAUACUCAGAGUCAGACCAUCCACCUGAAGGCCAGGACACAUCUGGGAGGGGAUCUGUGCAUUGGGCUAGCAGUGCUACCCAGGUGUGUUACUUUUCAGGUUUCAUUGGCUGCUGCCAGCAUGGCUAAUGUGCAGGCCUGCUGUGAGCUGUGGUCCACAACAUCUGCAAGGUUGGAAAAGGCUGCUCGAGGCAAUGGGUGCACUAUGGUGCCUCUCACCACAGCCGAUUAAAAAAGUGCCUGUGACUUGACAGCUCUGAAUGUUCUGCAGUCCUGUGAUGCUUUAUGUGUUUGCUUCAUUGGCAUGGGGAAUGUUUCCGGAAGCCUGGGUCUAAGCAUACAUAUGUUCACCGCUGGAAUUUGUUUUCCAGCAUCAGAACUGGACUUGAAACGGUUUUUCACAAGAAUCCUGGUUAAUCUCCAAGCUGUCUUCAUUUAGAUAAAUCCUAAACCUUCAUUUAGAUAAAUCCUAAACCAGGAUUUAUCAUCACCAUCAUCACCAUCACCAUCAUCAUCAUCUACACUUCUAUACCACCCGUAGCUGAAGCUCUGGACAGUUCUGUUUUUAUAUGUUGCUUUUGAUUUGAUUUAGGCAUAAAUAUUUAUGUACAUGAUGCCCUUUUUCCUCCAAGGAACCCAAAGUAGCUUACCUAAUCUCCUCCUCUGUAUUUUAUCUUCACGCCAACCCUAUGAGGUGGCUUAGGCUGAGCAUUCAUAACUGGCUCAAAGU
Long non-coding RNA from Varanus komodoensis (Komodo dragon), 4529 nucleotides. RefSeq lists it as uncharacterized. NCBI's taxonomy places the organism in Eukaryota, Metazoa, Chordata, Lepidosauria, Squamata, Varanidae. The record is from RefSeq and is a predicted model, not a curated record. The transcript is spliced from 2 exons.